RNAcentral lists this transfer RNA (73 nucleotides) under Diaphorina citri (Asian citrus psyllid). It matches the Rfam family "tRNA". From Rfam's summary of the family: Transfer RNA (tRNA) molecules are approximately 80 nucleotides in length. Their secondary structure includes four short double-helical elements and three loops (D, anti-codon, and T loops). Further hydrogen bonds mediate the characteristic L-shaped molecular structure. tRNAs have two regions of fundamental functional importance: the anti-codon, which is responsible for specific mRNA codon recognition, and the 3' end, to which the tRNAs corresponding amino acid is attached (by aminoacyl-tRNA synthetases). tRNAs cope with the degeneracy of the genetic code in two manners: having more than one tRNA (with a specific anti-codon) for a particular amino acid; and 'wobble' base-pairing, i.e. permitting non-standard base-pairing at the 3rd anti-codon position. The record is from Rfam by way of RNAcentral. Lineage: Eukaryota; Metazoa; Arthropoda; Insecta; Hemiptera; Psyllidae.
UCCUAGUUAGCUUGGAGGGUAGCCCGUGUGCCUUGUAAGCACUAGGCCGCGGGUUCGAUUCCCGCCCGGGGAG